RNAcentral lists this ribosomal RNA (276 nucleotides) under uncultured bacterium. RNAcentral describes it as "partial 16S ribosomal RNA". It matches the Rfam family "Bacterial small subunit ribosomal RNA", at positions 85 to 354 of the family's 1533-position model. The record is from RNAcentral.
CCGCCGGCGACCGGCGCACGGGUGAGUAACACGUAUGCAACCUGGCCGUGACAGAUGGAUAACCGGGAGAAAUCCCGCCUAAUACAACAUAAUGCCGGGAGGGGACCAUCCCCUGCCGGGUCAAACGGGGGCGACCCCGGUCACGGAUGGGCAUGCGGCGCAUUAGGUAGUUGGUGGGGCAACGGCCCACCAAGCCGACGAUGCGUAGGGGUUCUGAGAGGAAGGUCCCCCACAUUGGAACUGAGACACGGUCCAAACUCCUACGGAAGGCAGCAG